RNAcentral lists this ribosomal RNA (467 nucleotides) under uncultured bacterium. Its description in RNAcentral is "partial 16S ribosomal RNA". It matches the Rfam family "Bacterial small subunit ribosomal RNA", at positions 28 to 507 of the family's 1533-position model. The record is from RNAcentral.
GACGAACGCUGGCGGCGUGCUUAACACAUGCAAGUCGAACGGAAAGGCUCCAGCUUGCUGGAGUACUCGAGUGGCGAACGGGUGAGUAACACGUGGGUAAUCUGCCCUGCACUCUGGGAUAAGCCUGGGAAACUGGGUCUAAUACUGGAUAUGACCUUUCUCCUUAUGGGGUUUGGUGGAAAGUUUUUCGGUGUAGGAUGAGCCCGCGGCCUACCAGCUUGUUGGUGGGGUGAUGGCCUACCAAGGCGACGACGGGUAGCCGGCCUGAGAGGGUGAUCGGCCACAUUGGGACUGAGAUACGGCCCAGACUCCUACGGGAGGCAGCAGUGGGGAAUAUUGCACAAUGGGCGGUAGCCUGAUGCAGCGACGCCGCGUGAGGGAUGACGGCCUUCGGGUUGUAAACCUCUUUCAGCAGGGACGAAGCGUAAGUGACGGUACCUGCAGAAGAAGCACCGGCUAACUAUGUG